CGCGGGGUGGAGCAGUUCGGUAGCUCGCUGGGCUCAUAACCCAGAGGUCGCAGGUUCAAAUCCUGCCCCCGCAA
This 74-nucleotide transfer RNA is filed under the name Tropheryma whipplei. RNAcentral describes it as "tRNA-Met". It matches the Rfam family "tRNA". Rfam says of the family: Transfer RNA (tRNA) molecules are approximately 80 nucleotides in length. Their secondary structure includes four short double-helical elements and three loops (D, anti-codon, and T loops). The record is from RNAcentral. RNAcentral also lists the same sequence under 4 other names. Lineage: Bacteria; Bacillati; Actinomycetota; Actinomycetes; Micrococcales; Tropherymataceae.